AAGUCGUAACAAGGUUUCCGUAGGUGAACCUGCGGAAGGAUCAUUACCGAGUUCAUGCCCUCACGGGUAGAUCUCCCACCCUUUGUUUACUACACGCUGUUGCUUUGGCGGACCGCUACAAGUUGGCUUCGGCCGAUGCGUGGCUACCGGUUUCGGCUGGUAAGUGCCCGCCAGAGGACCCAACCAACCUGAAUUAUUAGUGUCGUCUGAGUAAAAAUUUAAUAUUUAAAACUUUCAACAACGGAUCUCUUGGCUCUGGCAUCGAUGAAGAACGCAGCGAAAUGCGAUAAGUAAUGUGAAUUGCAGAAUUCAGUGAAUCAUCGAAUCUUUGAACGCACAUUGCGCCCCCUGGUAUUCCGGGGGGCAUGCCCCUUCGAGCGUCAUUAUCACCCCUCAAGCCUAGCUUGGUGUUGGGGCAUGCCGCCACCGGCAGCCCUUAAAAUCAGUGGCAGUGCUGUCAGGCUCUAAGCGUAGUAAAACCAUCGCUAUAGACCCCUGGGAGUACUCGCCAGAACCCCCCACUAUUUAAUGAUUGACCUCGGAUGGGGUAGGGAUACCCGCUGAACUUAAGCAUAUCAAUAAGCGGAGGAAAAGAAACCAACAGGGAUUGCCCCAGUAACGGCGAGUGAAGCGGCAAAAGCUCAAAUUUGAAAUCUGGCUCUUUUAGGGUCCGAGUUGUAAUUUGUAGAAGAUGUUUCGGGUGUGGCUCCGGUUUAAGUUCUUUGGAAUAUUACAUCAUAGAGGGUGAGAAUCCCGUAUGUGACCGGCAGCCUCCGCCUAUGUGAAACUCUUUCGACGAGUCGAGUUGUUUGGGAAUGCAGCUCAAAAUGGGUGGUAUAUUUCAUCUAAAGCUAAAUACUGGCCAGAGACCGAUAGCGCACAAGUAGAGUGAUCGAAAGAUGAAAAGCACUUUGGAAAGAGAGUUAAACAGUACGUGAAAUUGUUGAAAGGGAAGCGCUUGCAACCAGACUUGCACGCAGUUGAUCAUCCGGUGUUCUCACCGGGGCACUCUGCUGCGUUCAGGCCAGCAUCGGUUUCGGUGGUUGGAUAAAGGCCUUGGGAAUGUAGCUCCUCUCGGGGAGUGUUAUAGCCCUCGGUGCAAUGCAGCCUACCGGGACCGAGGACCGCGCUUCGGCUAGGAUGCUGGCGUAAUGGUUGUAAGCGGCC
RNAcentral lists this ribosomal RNA (1167 nucleotides) under uncultured fungus. RNAcentral describes it as "eukaryotic LSU rRNA". The stretch from base 534 to 1167 matches the Rfam family "Eukaryotic large subunit ribosomal RNA", at positions 1 to 649 of the family's 3401-position model. The record is from RNAcentral. Lineage: Eukaryota; Fungi.